CGAUGCCCGCGUGACCCCAGCAGGGCUCGUGGCCGCGUGCUGACGUGUAGCGGCUGAUUAAGCGCCCCAGCCUUCGGGCCGGUGCUGGCGUCUACCUUCAGUCCACAGGUCUCUCGGAAAGGUUUUUCUCGACUGGGGCGAAUUACAACCACACUCGGUUCCAUGGAGAUCUCGCAAAUGCACUCCGUCGACUUUAAUCGCCAUCCAAGUCGUUUUCUUUAACGAGCCAGGAUGAACAGGGCAGACCGUGUCAUCUCAGGUGGGCCAUGGAAGUCGGCAGGAAACAAUUCCGUUGGCCCAGUAGAUGUGCAGGAUUUUGCCAGGGUGCCACAGCUGCCCCCCCCCUCACCCCCCCACUGGGAUGCAGGACCACCGGAGAGCAAUUCGUCCGCAUUUCCCUCAGAGCUCCAUGCCUCACCAUUGCUGGUGAACCUUCCUGAUGUACACAAGUGUCUCAGCUCGUUUGUUCUGCUAAUUCUGGAGAAUAAAACCUGCGGGAUUUUA
Long non-coding RNA from Paramormyrops kingsleyae, 504 nucleotides. RefSeq lists it as uncharacterized. NCBI's taxonomy places the organism in Eukaryota, Metazoa, Chordata, Actinopteri, Osteoglossiformes, Mormyridae. The record is from RefSeq and is a predicted model, not a curated record.